This 543-nucleotide small RNA is filed under the name Pan troglodytes (chimpanzee). Its description in RNAcentral is "retained intron". Lineage: Eukaryota; Metazoa; Chordata; Mammalia; Primates; Hominidae. The record is from RNAcentral.
AGUAGGUAUGGAGAAGCCAAGGGAGGCACUAAGCCUCUCCUGUUCCUAGAACAAGUUAGGCUCCUGUUCCUUCACCCACCUUUCUUCUUGUCUAGCUCCCUACUCCUGUGAGUUAGCAUGUCUGAAGGGUGGGGCAGGGAGGGUAGGCCCCUGGUUCUCCAGGUCCCAGGGAUCCAUGCCUUCCAGUAUGUCAUCUAUGGAACUGCCUCUUUCUUCUUCCUUUAUGGGGCCCUCCUGCUGGCUGAGGGCUUCUACACCACCGGCGCAGUCAGGCAGAUCUUUGGCGACUACAAGACCACCAUCUGCGGCAAGGGCCUGAGCGCAACGGUAACAGGGGGCCAGAAGGGGAGGGGUUCCAGAGGCCAACAUCAAGCUCAUUCUUUGGAGCGGGUGUGUCAUUGUUUGGGAAAAUGGCUAGGACAUCCCGACAAGGUGAUCAUCCUCAGGAUUUUGUGGCAAUAACAAGGGGUGGGGGAAAAUUGGGCGCGAGUCUGUGGCCUCGUCCCCACCCAAGGCUGGGUCCUCUCUAGGGGCCUGGCAUUU